RNAcentral lists this ribosomal RNA (459 nucleotides) under uncultured Desulfobulbus sp. RNAcentral's name for it is "bacterial SSU rRNA". It matches the Rfam family "Bacterial small subunit ribosomal RNA", at positions 930 to 1382 of the family's 1533-position model. The record is from RNAcentral. Lineage: Bacteria; Pseudomonadati; Thermodesulfobacteriota; Desulfobulbia; Desulfobulbales; Desulfobulbaceae.
CGGUGGAGUAUGUGGUUUAAUUCGAUGCAACGCGAAGAACCUUACCUGGCCUUGACAUCCCGGAGACCCUUAGGAAACUAGGGGGUGGCUUCCAUCUGGAAGAAUCUGGAGACAGGUGCUGCAUGGCUGUCGUCAGCUCGUGUCGUGAGAUGUUGGGUUAAGUCCCGCAACGAGCGCAACCCUUGCCUUUAGUUGCCAGCAGUUCGGCUGGGCACUCUAAAGGGACUGCCGGUGUUAAACCGGAGGAAGGUGGGGAUGACGUCAAGUCCUCAUGGCCUUUAUGACCAGGGCUACACACGUACUACAAUGGCCGAUACAAAGGGCAGCGACACUGCGAGGUGAAGCCAAUCCCGUAAAAUCGGUCUCAGUCCGGAUUGGAGUCUGCAACUCGACUCCAUGAAGUUGGAAUCGCUAGUAAUCGUGGAUCAGCAUGCCACGGUGAAUACGUUCCCGGGCCUU